RNAcentral lists this ribosomal RNA (440 nucleotides) under uncultured bacterium. Its description in RNAcentral is "partial 16S ribosomal RNA". It matches the Rfam family "Bacterial small subunit ribosomal RNA", at positions 338 to 795 of the family's 1533-position model. The record is from RNAcentral.
CCUACGGGAGGCAGCAGUGGGGAAUAUUGCACAAUGGGGGAAACCCUGAUGCAGCGACGCCGCGUGAAGGAAGAAGUAUUUCGGUAUGUAAACUUCUAUCAGCAGGGAAGAAAAUGACGGUACCUGACUAAGAAGCCCCGGCUAACUACGUGACAGCAGCCGCGGUACUACGUAGGGUGCAAGCGUUAUCCGGAUUUACUGGGUAUAAAGGGGUCGUAGGCGGUGCAGCAAGUCAGAAGUGAAAGCCCGGGGCUACACUCCGGGACUGCUUUUGAAACUGUUGAACUAGAUUGCAGGAGAGGUAAGUGGAAUUCCUAGGGUAGCGGUGAAAUGCGUAGAUAUUAGGAGGAACACCAGUGGCGAAGGCGGCUUACUGGACUGUAAAUGACGCUGAGGCUCGAAAGCGUGGGGAGCAAACAGGAUUAGAUACCCCAGUAGUC